RNAcentral lists this transfer RNA (72 nucleotides) under Danionella translucida. It matches the Rfam family "tRNA". Rfam says of the family: Transfer RNA (tRNA) molecules are approximately 80 nucleotides in length. Their secondary structure includes four short double-helical elements and three loops (D, anti-codon, and T loops). Further hydrogen bonds mediate the characteristic L-shaped molecular structure. tRNAs have two regions of fundamental functional importance: the anti-codon, which is responsible for specific mRNA codon recognition, and the 3' end, to which the tRNAs corresponding amino acid is attached (by aminoacyl-tRNA synthetases). tRNAs cope with the degeneracy of the genetic code in two manners: having more than one tRNA (with a specific anti-codon) for a particular amino acid; and 'wobble' base-pairing, i.e. permitting non-standard base-pairing at the 3rd anti-codon position. Lineage: Eukaryota; Metazoa; Chordata; Actinopteri; Cypriniformes; Danionidae. RNAcentral also lists the same sequence under 1 other name. The record is from Rfam by way of RNAcentral.
GGUUCUAUAUUGUAAUGGUUAGCACUCUGGACUCUGAAUCCAGCGAUCCGAGUUCAAAUCUCGGUAGGACCU